Molecule: transfer RNA, 63 nt
Filed under: Actinomycetota bacterium
Lineage: Bacteria; Bacillati; Actinomycetota
Description: tRNA-Trp
Rfam family: tRNA
About the family: Transfer RNA (tRNA) molecules are approximately 80 nucleotides in length. Their secondary structure includes four short double-helical elements and three loops (D, anti-codon, and T loops).
Source: RNAcentral
UGUAGCUCUAAUUGGCAGAGCGACGGUCUCCAAAACCGUAGGUUGUGAGUUCGAGUCUCACCG